AUGCAUAGGGAUGGAUUUGUAGACAUGAUCAAGAAUAUUUGGGAGAGGCCUGCUGUUGGUCGUACACAUAUUCAGAGAUGGAACUUUAAAAUAAGGGCCAUGAGGCAACACCUCUCUGGAUGGGCAAAACAUACCAACGGGAUUUAUAAAAAAGAAAAACAACGGCUCUCUACCAUUAUUGAUGACCUCGACAAAAUUGCAGAGACGCGCAUCUUAUCUCAACAAGAGAUUGAAUUAAAAAAUCAAUCUAAUGAGAAGAUUGCCCGUCUUCUGCGAGAAGAGGAGAUCAAAUACUACCAGAGAUCCAAAGCCGAUUUCAUUUUGAUGGGUGAUAGUAAUACAAGAUACUUCCAAUUGGUCGCUAAUGGCCGGCAUAGGAAGAAAUGUAUUUAUAGUCUCCAACAAGAUGAGGGGCGGAUCGAAGGUCAAGAGGAGCUCAAAAAUUAUAUCACCAAAUAA
RNAcentral lists this ribosomal RNA (459 nucleotides) under Triticum aestivum (bread wheat). RNAcentral's name for it is "partial small subunit ribosomal RNA". The record is from RNAcentral. Lineage: Eukaryota; Viridiplantae; Streptophyta; Magnoliopsida; Poales; Poaceae.